GAGCUCAGCUCAGGGCACGGAUGAAGAGGUCAACAAUGCUGAGACCAGUGAUGUACCAGCAGAUUCUGAACAACAACCCGUGGACUCGGGUUCAGAUCCACCUUCUGCUGAUGCAGAUGCAGAGAAUGUUCAAGAGGGUGAAUCAGCCCCACCAGCAAAUGAAGAGCCUCCUGCCACUUCUGGGAGUGAAGAGGAACAGCAGCAGCAGGAACCCACACAGGCAGAGAAUCAAGAGCCUCCUGCCACCUCUGGGAGUGAAGAGGAACAGCAGCAGCAGGAACCCACACAGGCAGAGAAUCAAGAGCCUCCUGCCACCUCUGGGAGUGAAGAGGAACAGCAGCAGCAGGAAUCCACACAGGCAGAGAAUCAAGAGCCUUCUGACUCUGCUGGGGAAGGACAGGAAACUCAACCUGAGGAAGGAAAUGUAGAGUCACCUCCCUCUUCUCCUGAAAACUCACAAGAACAACCACAGCAAACAAAUCCAGAGGAGAAACCGCCUGCUCCUAAGACUCAGGAAGAGCCACAGCACUAUAGAGGUCGUCCUCCAAAGAAGAUUUUUCCUUUUUUCAUUUACAGAGGAA
RNAcentral lists this long non-coding RNA (581 nucleotides) under Rattus norvegicus (Norway rat). Its description in RNAcentral is "long non-coding RNA NONRATT020943". The record is from RNAcentral. Lineage: Eukaryota; Metazoa; Chordata; Mammalia; Rodentia; Muridae.